RNAcentral lists this ribosomal RNA (996 nucleotides) under uncultured bacterium. RNAcentral describes it as "bacterial SSU rRNA". It matches the Rfam family "Bacterial small subunit ribosomal RNA", at positions 500 to 1499 of the family's 1533-position model. The record is from RNAcentral.
ACUCCGUGCCAGCAGCCGCGGUAAUACGAAAGGGGCUAGCGUUGUUCGGAAUUACUGGGCGUAAAGCGUGCGCAGGCGGACAUGUAGGUGUCCUGUGAAAUCCCUCGGCUCAACCGGGGAACUGCAGGGCAAACCCCAUGUCUUGAGGCAGGUAGGGGUCGAUGGAACUGUCGGUGGAGCGGUGAAAUGCGUAGAUAUCGACAGGAACGCCAGUGGCGAAGGCGAUCGACUGGGCCUGUCCUGACGCUCAGGCACGAAAGCGUGGGGAGCAAACAGGAUUAGAUACCCUGGUAGUCCACGCCGUAAACGAUGUGCACUAGGUCGGAGCGGUUUUGACGCCUUUCCGGCCGACGUAAAAACAUUAAGUGCACCGCCUGGGGAGUACGGUCGCAAGGCUAAAACUCAAAGGAAUUGACGGGGGCUCACACAAGCGGUGGAGCAUGUUGCUUAAUUCGAGGCAACGCGAAGAACCUUACCUGGGUUUGACAUGCACGGAUUAGCUCGGUGAAAGUCGAGUGACGCCCUCGGGUGGAACGUGCACAGGUGCUGCAUGGCUGUCGUCAGCUCGUGCUGUGAAGUGUCGGGUUAAGUCCCUUAACGAGCGCAACCCCUAUCGCUAGUUGCCAGCACGUCAUGGUGGGGACUCUAGCGAGACUGCCGGUGUUAAACCGGAGGAAGGUGGGGAUGACGUCAAGUCCUCAUGGCCCUUAUGUCCAGGGAUGCAAACGUGCUACAAUGGCGUGGACAGAGCGACGCAAUGCCGCGAGGUGGAGCAAAUCGCAAAAACCACGCCCCAGUUCGGAUUGCAGGCUGCAACUCGCCUGCAUGAAGCCGGAAUCGCUAGUAAUCGCGUAUCAGCUACGACGCGGUGAAUACGUUCCUGAGCCUUGUACACACCGCCCGUCAAGUCAUGGAAGCCGGGAGCGCCCGAAGUCACCUCGAUUCAGGGGUGCCUACGGCGAGUUCGGUGACUGGGACUAAGUCGUAACAAGGUAG